This 72-nucleotide transfer RNA is filed under the name Gomphosphaeria aponina SAG 52.96 = DSM 107014. It matches the Rfam family "tRNA". Rfam says of the family: Transfer RNA (tRNA) molecules are approximately 80 nucleotides in length. The record is from Rfam by way of RNAcentral. Lineage: Bacteria; Bacillati; Cyanobacteriota; Cyanophyceae; Chroococcales; Gomphosphaeriaceae. RNAcentral also lists the same sequence under 1 other name.
GGGCGAUUAGCUCAGCGGUAGAGCGCCUGCCUUACAAGCAGGACGCCACUGGUUCAAAUCCAGUAUCGCCCA